GAUGAACGCUAGCGGGAGGCUUAACACAUGCAAGUCGAACGGUAACAGGCCCUUCGGGGUGCUGACGAGUGGCGCACGGGUGCGUAACGCGUAUGCAACCUGCCUUAUGCAGGGGGAUAGCCCAUGGAAACGUGGAUUAAUACCCCAUAGUAUCAAUUAUUCGCAUGGAUAAUUGAUUAAAACUUCGGUGGCGUAAGAUGGGCAUGCGUAGGAUUAGCUAGUUGGUGAGGUAAUGGCUCACCAAGGCAACGAUCCUUAGGGGUCCUGAGAGGGUUAUCCCCCACACUGGUACUGAGACACGGACCAGACUCCUACGGGAGGCAGCAGUGAGGAAUAUUGGUCAAUGGGCGCGAGCCUGAACCAGCCAUCCCGCGUGCAGGAUGACGGCCUUCUGGGUUGUAAACUGCUUUUAUACGGGAGCAAAGAGUCCCUGCGGGGAAAAUUGAGAGUAUCGUAUGAAUAAGCACCGGCUAACUCCGUGCCAGCAGCCGCGGUAAUACGGAGGGUGCAAGCGUUGUCCGGAUUUAUUGGGUUUAAAGGGUGCGUAGGCGGCGUAAUAAGUCAGUGGUGAAAGCCGGCAGCUCAACUGUCGAGGUGCCAUUGAUACUGUUAUGC
RNAcentral lists this ribosomal RNA (615 nucleotides) under uncultured bacterium. Its description in RNAcentral is "bacterial SSU rRNA". It matches the Rfam family "Bacterial small subunit ribosomal RNA", at positions 28 to 641 of the family's 1533-position model. The record is from RNAcentral.